AGAGAGAAAUUCCAGAGAGUUUCUUCUUAUUAAUUCUUUCAGAGAAUUUCUUGCAGAGAAAUUUUCUACUUCUAUCCUUCUGCAUUACCUCCCUUUAUAUAGGAAAGGAAAUGAGAAGGAGAAUAAUAAGGGAGGGGACAAGAUGAGCAAAUAAAGGGGAAAAGGAAGUUAAGGGAAAAGAGGGAGAGAAAAAGAACGGAUGAAAAACCCUCAUCAUGAGGGAAUCAUCUUUUUCUAACACUUCCCCUGAUUCCCUAUGAUAGAAGAUUAUGUCUCAUUAAAAACCUUGUUAAGAAAACCCAGUGGGAAAAACUUAACGAAGGGAAAAAGAGUACAUAUCUUUUACAUAAAUAUCUAUUAAUUGACUGCCUCGUUAAAACCUUGUCAGGAAAAACCCAUUGGGAUAAAAACCGUGACUAAGGAAAAAGAGUACAGUCUUCCCCUCAAAAGGAUUUCAUUACUCCUUGAUGAAAUGUUAUCAUAAGUCUUUCAGUCGACACAUUCCGAUCCUUUUCCGAAGUUUUGCAAACGUUGCAUUUGGUAGCGACUUUGUGAAUAAGUCGGCUAGAUUAUCACAUGAUCGAAUUUGAUGCACAUCUAUAUCACCCUUCUUUUGUAGCUCAUGUGUGAAGAAGAAUUUAGGUGAAAUGUGCUUUGUUCUAUCUCCCUUGAUGUACCCUCCUCUAAGUUGAGCAAUGCAUGCAGCGUUAUCCUCAUACAGAAUUGUAGGAAUGUCUUUGAUUGAUGGUAAUCCACAUGAUUUUUGAAUAUGCUGAAUAAUUGAUCUCAACCAAACACACUCUCUGCUUGCUUCAUGUAUAGCGAGAAUCUCUGAGUGAUUUGAAGAUGUAGCUGUCAUGGUUUGCUUUGUGGAUUUCCAGGAUAUAGCCGUGUCACAAUAUGUAAAUACAUAACCUGUUUGUGAUCUUCCAUUGUGUGGAUCUGAUAAAUAUCCUGCAUCGGCAUAUCCAACCAAUUGCGACGUUGAAUUUCUUGGAUAAAAUAACCCAAGAUCUAUACUUCCACGGAGGUAUCUCAAAAUGUGUUUGAUCCCAUCCCAAUGUCUCUUAGUCGGAGAAGAACUGUAUCUUGCUAACAAGUUGACAGCAAAAGUAAUAUCAGGUCGUGUACAGUUUGCAAGAUACAUAAGAGCACCUAUUGCACUUAGGUAUGGAACUUCAGGUCCAAGAACUUCUUCCCCACUUUCUAGAGGCCGAAAUGGAUCUUUAUCAACUUCUAAAGAUCGAACAACCAUCGGGGUAGUCAAAGGAUGAGCUUUAUCCAUAUGAAAACGACUGAGAAUCUUUUCAGCAUAUGUGGAUUGAUGAACAAAAAUUCCAGAUGCUAAAUGCUCCACUUGUAUUCCCAAACAGAAUUUUGUCUUUCCAAGAUCUUUCAUUUCAAAUUCAUCUUUUAAAUAAGUAGCAGUUCUUGUGAGUUCUUCAGGAGUACCUACAAGAUUCAAAUCAUCCACAUAUACAGCAAUGAUGGAAAAUCCACUUUGUGAUUUCUUAAUAAAAACACAUGGACAUACUUGAUCAUUUAUAUAUCCAUCUUUUAUUAAAUAAUCACUAAGUCGAUUAUACCACAUACGACCAGACUGUUUCAACCCAUACAAUGAGCGUUGUAACUUGAUUGAAUAUAUGUGACGUGGCCUUUGUGAUUCAGCCAUUUUCAAUCCUUCAGGGAUUCUCAUGUAAAUCUCAUUAUCAAGUGAGCCAUAUAGGUAUGCAGUUACAACAUCCAUUAGACGUGUUUCCAAAUCUUCCACGGUUGCCAUACCUAUCAGAAAGCGAAAAGUGACUCCAUCCAUUACUGGAGAGUAUGUCUCCUGAUAAUCAAUACCAGGUUUUUGUGAAAACCCUUGAGCUACAAGUCGGGCUUUGUAUCUCACAAUUUCAUUUUUCUCAUUUCGCUUUCGUACAAAUACCCAUUUGUUUCCAACCGGGAUUACACCCAGCGGUGUUUGGACUACUGGUCCAAAUACUUCUCUUUUCAAUAGAGAUUGUAGCUCAGUUUGAAUAGCAUCUUUCCAUUUUGGCCAAUCUUUUCUUUUCCGACAUUCUUCCACGUUUUGUGGUUCAGGAUCCGUGUCAGGAAUCAAAGUAAUAUCUGAUGCUAUAGAGAAAGCAAAUAUAUCAUCAAUCAUGACUUUGCUUCGAUCCCAUAUUUUCUCAUCAUGUACAUAAUUUAUUGAGAUCUCUUGGUGUUCAUCUCUUAUCCCUUCACUGAGAUUUUGAACCUCUUCUGGGGCUAUUCCCACUCUUGGAAUAAGUGCUACUUCUGGAGCGGGUAUUCCUUCUGGGAUUCCCUUAUUUGCUUUUGAUUUUCGUGGUACAGUGUCUUUUGCACCAACCGGUCUUCCACGCUUCUGGCGUGGUUUAGAUUCUUCUAUUACCUUAUUCGUCAAUUCUCCAGGAAUUGAUUUUUCAAUAGGUAUUUCUAUCCUUGCUGGAGUAUUCACUGCAGGUGUAUGUGACUUUAUCACUUUUCUAGCAUCAUUAAAUGCAUCUGGCAUUUGAUUUGCAAUAUUUUGUAAAUGAAUAAUUCUUUGAACUUCAAUUUCACAUUGUCCUGUACGAGGAUCAAGUGAAUUUAAAUCUGAUGCAUUCCAUGAUAUUUCAGAGGGUUUUUUAUUUAAAACUUUCCCUCCUCCUAAUGUUGGAAAUACAGAUUCAUCAAAAUGACAAUCUACAUAACGUGCAGUAAAAACAUCUCCAGUUAAAGGUUCAAGAUAUCUGAUAAUAGAAGGAGAAUCAAAACCAACAUAAAUACCUAUUCUUCGUUGGGCUCCCAUCUUAGUUCUUUGUGGAGGUGCAAUUGGAACAUAUACUGCACUUCCAAAAACUCGAAAGUGUGAUAUGUUGGGUAUCUGUCCAAGAACUAACUGUAGAGGAGAAAAUUUAUGAAGAGCCGUUGGUCUUACUCGAAUGAUGGCUGCAGCAUGAAGAAUUGCAUGACCCCAAACUGAGGUAGGUAAGUUAGCCCUUAACAUUAAUGGUCGUGCAAUUAGUUGAAGUCUUUUUAUUAAAGAUUCAGCUAAACCAUUUUGUGUAUGAAUAUGAGGAACAGAAUGCUCAAUGGAGAUUCCAAUAGUCAUACAAAAAUCAUUAAAAGUCAUUGAUGAAAAUUCAGCUGCGUUAUCAAGUCGAAUUGACUUGAUUGGAUGAUCCGAGAACUGAGCCCGUAACUUGAUUAUUUGAGCAAGAAGUUUUGAGAAGGCAAAAUUUCGAGAAGAGAGAAGACAAACAUGAGACCAUCUAGUUGAAGCAUCUAUUAAAACCAUGAAAUAUCGAAAUGGGCCAGACAAUGGGUGAAUAGGUCCACAAAUGUCUCCUUGAAUUCUCUCUAGGAAUUUUGGGGCUUCUUUAUAAACUUUUACUGGUGAUGGUCGAACAAUUAAUUUUCCUCGAGAACACGCAGCACAAGGAAAUUCACUACUAGGAAAAACCUUUUUAUCUUUGAGAGGAUGACCAGUAGAAUUUUCAAUAAUACGACGCAUCAUAGAAGUACCUGGAUGACCGAGUCUUUCAUGCCAAAGCAUAAAGGAUUUGGGAUCUAUGAUUUUUGGAAUCAUAACAGUAUGAGACUCAAUUGCUCUAAUUUUCAUAGUAUAUAAUCCAGAAGAAAUUGAAUGAAGUUUUUCUAAGAUAUUCUUUUUUCCAGAAAUAGUAGAAGUAAUGAGAAGAUAUUCAUUAUCAUUCUCAUUGGUUGUUUCAAUGUGAAAACCAUUUAGUCGAAUAUCUUUAAAACUAAGCAAAUUUCUUCUUGAUUUACUAGAAUAUAGAGCAUCUUUGAUAAAAACUUGUGUCUCAUUUGGUAGCAAGAAACUAGCUUUUCCAAAUCCCUCGAUUAAAUUUGAUGUGCCAGAGAUAGUUCCUACAUUUCCCUUAGCUUUGAUCAGUUGUGAAAAAUAUUUCUCAUUUCGAAGGAUUGUAUGAGUUGUUGCACUGUCUGCUAAACAUAUAUCCUCCAUAUCCAUUAAAAAUGGUCUGACACAUAUAAAAACAUAAAUAAGAAAAGUUACAUUUCAAAUAUAAUUUUAUUCAUGAGAAACACAUACCACAUAUAGAAUGAAAACUAAUAAUAUUAUACAUGCAGGGUGUUUAAUUAAAACAAGAAAUUAAACGAUAUCCCAAAAGAUACUUUCAGAAGGUUCAGUAAUAUCAACAACCUUUUCCUCAUUGUUGGUCAUUGGUGGAACAUCAACAAUAUUCAAUUGAUGAUUAACAAAGUUUGUUUCUGCCUCCAUUACUUUGUUCUUUUGAGACUCCUGGAAUAAAUUAACCAGAUGCCUCGGCGUACGACAGGUACGCGACCAAUGCCCAUUCAUCCCACACCUAAAACAAACAUCUGGUUUGUUCUUUAUCUGUGUUGCAUUUUCUUUAUUUUUACCCGACCCAGACACUUGCCACUUCUGGUGGCCUGAAUUGUCGCGGUUCUGGAAUUUGUUGUUAUGAUGGCCUCGUUUAUUCUUUCGUCCCCAAGGCUUCUUAUUAUAUGACCAUCUCUUGUCACGUUUAUUCUGCUGGAAUGACGUGCUGUUAAUAUCUGGCAAUGGGGUAGCACCCGUUGGCCGUACUUGAUGGUUUUUCAACAACAAUUCAUUAUUCUUUUCUGCAACAAGGAGGAUAGACAACAAGUCACUGAAUUUUGUGAACUUACUCUGUCUAUAUUGUUGUGACAGAAUCAUGUUGGUGGGAUGAAAAGUUGAGAGUGUUUUUUCUAACAUUUGGGAUUCAGAAACUGGAUCUCCGCACAAAGCCAAAGUAGAGGUUAUUCUAUAAACAUUAGAACUAUAUUCUGUAAUUGAUUUGUAAUCUUGUAGCCUUAAAUUAAGCCACUCAAAUUUGGCAUUAGGGAGAACAACCAAUUUUUGGUGGUCAAAUCUUUCCUUCAGUUGUGUCCAUAAAGACAAAGGAUCUUUGACUGUCAAAUACUCAGUCUUUAAUCCUUCAUCAAUAUGAUGACGAAGAAAAAUUAUGGCUUUUGCAUUCUGUGCCGAAGUAGCUGUAUUUCCUGAUUCAAUGGUCUUUUCUAACUCAUUUGCACUAAGAUGCAAUUCUGCAUCAAGUGCCCAAGCCAAAUAGUUGUCUCCAGAAAUUUUCAAAAUAGAAAAAUCUAUUUUUGCCAAGUUCGCCAUCUAUUCUGGGUUAAAACACAAUUUUAUUAUUUAUUAAAACAAUAAAUAAUUGCAUGUAUGAAAUAUGGAAAAAAUAAACUACGUCACGAUCUCAAGUGGUGAUAAAAUGCAAAUAUAAAUAUUUUUAUAUUUAUAUUAUUAGCAUAUUAUUUUAGUAAAAAGAAUAUGCAAUCGUUAAUGUAUAUAUAUAUACAAUUAUAAAUAUAUAUAUAUAUAUAUAUAUAUAUAUAUAAAACUGCAAAUGGAUCUUCACCCGUCUUGCGAUAGAGACCGCAAAGACAGGUUAUUCUCAACAGAAUAAUAAAUGUGGAAUAAUAAAUACGGAACCAGGUCCGGUGUAAAACACACAGACAGGAUAUUCCAACAGAAUCGUAAAUACAGAAUAAUAAAAUGGAACCAGGUCCGGCGUAUAGCACAGACAGGAUAUUCCGACAUAAUAUUAAAUGCAGAAAUAUAAAAGGAUUUCACCAAGUACAGGGUAUGCCGCUUAUACAGGUUAUGUAUAGGGUAUGCCGCGUAUACAGGUUAUUCCAACCAGUAGCAUAAUAAUAAAUUGCAAGAAUUUAACUUUACCGUCUCAGUUGGUUAGAGUUUCGUGCUGAUAACGUGUUAUAAAAUUCUAGCGAAGUGUAUAAAAUAUACUCUUAUAAUUGCUCUAAUAAGAAUUUAGAAACAAGCAAGAGAGGAUAAAAUAAGAGAUAAGUAGAGAGAGAAAUUCCAGAGAGUUUCUUCUUAUUAAUUCUUUCAGAGAAUUUCUUGCAGAGAAAUUUUCUACUUCUAUCCUUCUGCAUUACCUCCCUUUAUAUAGGAAAGGAAAUGAGGAGGAGAAUAAUAAGGGAGGGGACAAGAUGAGCAAAUAAAGGGGAAAAGGAAGUUAAGGGAAAAGAGGGAGAUAAAAAAAACGGAUGAAAAACCCUCAUCAUGAGGGAAUCAUCUUUUUCUAACAUUUUUAAUGUGGAAAUAUGAUCAAUUUCUUUCUUUAAAACCUGCUACUUAAUUAGCAUUGAGUAGCUAGAAGAUGCUAAUAACAUUAGCCUCAACCCAACUGGCAACUGGUGAUAUGGUUUUAAUUCGGGCUUUGGCUGGGCUUUGACAGUGAUGAUAUAUAGAACGCAACACUGUACAUAAGAACCAUGCAUGCAUGCAUAAUACUAGCUAGCUAGCACUCCUCCAUUAUUUAUAUAUAUAUAUAUAUAUAUAUAUAUAUAUAUAUAUNN
This 6360-nucleotide long non-coding RNA is filed under the name Panax ginseng (ginseng). Its description in RNAcentral is "long non-coding RNA (PGIN_LNC016055)". The record is from RNAcentral. Lineage: Eukaryota; Viridiplantae; Streptophyta; Magnoliopsida; Apiales; Araliaceae.